RNAcentral lists this ribosomal RNA (402 nucleotides) under uncultured bacterium. Its description in RNAcentral is "bacterial SSU rRNA". It matches the Rfam family "Bacterial small subunit ribosomal RNA", at positions 355 to 774 of the family's 1533-position model. The record is from RNAcentral.
UCGGGAAUUUUGGGCAAUGGGCGAAAGCCUGACCCAGCAACGCCGCGUGAGGGAUGAAGUAUUUCGGUAUGUAAACCUCGAAAGAAUGGGAAGAAUAAAUGACGGUACCAUUUAUAAGCUCCGGCUAACUACGUGCCAGCAGCCGCGGUAAUACGUAGGGAGCAAGCGUUGUUCGGAUUUACUGGGCGUAAAGGGCGCGUAGGCGGCGCGGUAAGUCACUUGUGAAAUCUCUGAGCUUAACUCAGAACGGCCAAGUGAUACUGCUGUGCUAGAGUGCGGAAGAGGCAACCGGAAUUCUUGGUGUAGCGGUGAAAUGCGUAGAUAUCAAGAGGAACACCUGAGGCGAAGGCGGGUUGCUGGGCCGACACUGACGCUGAUGCGCGAAAGCCAGGGGAGCAGACG